This 65-nucleotide transfer RNA is filed under the name Furcilarnaca wufengensis. Its description in RNAcentral is "tRNA-Met". Lineage: Eukaryota; Metazoa; Arthropoda; Insecta; Orthoptera; Gryllacrididae. The record is from RNAcentral.
AAAAAGAUAAGCUAAAUAUAAGCUAAUGGGUUCAUACCCCAUCCAUAGAGAAUCUCUUCUUUUUA